Molecule: RNA transcript, 1811 nt
Organism: Gastrolobium bilobum
Lineage: Eukaryota; Viridiplantae; Streptophyta; Magnoliopsida; Fabales; Fabaceae
Gene name: omega-6 fatty acid desaturase, chloroplastic
Exons: 11
Source: RefSeq, a predicted model, not a curated record
AUGACCCUUUUGGAUUUGGUGAAACGGAAAAGAAAAAAAGCGUUAUCUUUUUUGUGGGUUAUUCAAUUCAAUCCUCGAGAGCCCAAAGCUUGCCUUGUGAGCUUAAUUUCUGCUCAUAAUGGCUUGCAUGCUUGCAAAUUCAUUACUCCUAUUCAAGGGCUCUCAUCAGAAACCAGUUGUGAGUAGAAGCAUUGCUGUCCAAUACUCACCGGGAAAAUUUAACCUAAAGGGUGACGGGCUUCUCCAGAAAGGGUUCAGGCAUCAAAGACAUUUUAAUCUUAGGAAUAAAGUUACUGUCAUCCGAGCUGUGGCAAUUCCAGUGGAACCAGCUCCAGCUGAAAGUGCAGAGUACAGAAAACAACUAGCCGAAAGCUACGGUUUUAAGCAAAUUGGAGAGCAGCUUCCAGACAAUGUUACUUUAAAGGAUGUCAUGAAUUCCCUUCCUAAGGAGGUCUUUGAGAUUGACAAUGUGAAAGCAUGGAAAUCUGUUUUGAUAUCUGUCACUUCCUAUGCUCUGGGGCUCUUUAUGAUUUCCAAAGCACCCUGGUAUCUACUUCCUCUGGCUUGGGCAUGGACAGGCACUGCAAUAACUGGGUUCUUUGUUAUAGGACAUGAUUGCGCUCACAAAUCUUUUUCAACGAACAAAUUGGUAGAAGACAUUGUUGGAACUCUGGCCUUCUUGCCAAUAAUUUAUCCAUAUGAGCCAUGGCGAUUCGAGCAUGACAAGCAUCACGCAAAAACAAACAUGUUGUAUGAAGAUACUGCGUGGCACCCUGUUUGGAAGGAUGAGUUUGAUUCAUCUCCACUUUUGAGGAAAGCAAUAAUAUAUGGAUACGGUCCAGUUCGAUGUUGGAUGUCUAUAGCUCACUGGUUGAUGUGGCACUUCGAUUUGAAGAAGUUCAGACCAAAUGAAGUAAAGAGGGUGAAGAUAAGUUUAGCUUAUGUUUUUGCCUUUAUAGCAAUUGGAUGGCCAUUAAUUAUUUACAACACUGGAAUCAUGGGAUGGAUAAAAUUCUGGUUGAUGCCAUGGUUGGGCUAUCACUUCUGGAUGAGUACUUUCACCAUGGUACAUCAUACUGCACCGCACAUACCAUUCAAAUAUUCAGAAGAAUGGAAUGCUGCUAAAGCACAGCUAAAUGGAACUGUUCACUGUGAUUACCCUCAAUGGAUCGAGAUCCUAUGCCAUUAUAUUAAUGUCCAUAUUCCGCACCACAUAUCCCCGAGAAUACCAAGCUAUAAUUUACGAGCAGCUCAUAAGUCUCUCCAAGAAAAUUGGGGAAAGUAUCUAAAUGAGGCAAGUUGGAAUUGGCGAUUGAUGAAGACAAUCAUGACAGUGUGUCACGUGUACGAUAAGAAGCAAAAUUAUGUUGCCUUCGAUGAACUUGCCCCCGAAGAAUCUCGUCCAAUUACAUUUUUGAGGGAAGUCAUGCCUGAUUAUGCUUAAUUAGGUCCAACCUGGCUUAUUCUCAUAUGAAAUUUUAUGUGUCAAAGUAGUUCACGUUUCAGGGUAAAUCAUGUUACCCAGUUGCGGAUUAUCCAAGGGCAAACCCCUGAGAAGCAUUCAUUAGGUUAAAAGUAGAUGUUAUAGUAAUAUUAACAGCGAGAUUCUUGUUAGAUGAUCACGUUGGAGGAAUAUUAUAUUAUACAUAUACAGUUGUCUAACGGAUAAAAAACCACGAGGAGUGUAGCACAGUGGUUUGAGCCUAAUACUGAGUCCUGACAAUGUUUUCUCAUUGCAGGGUGUCUUUUGAUUGUAUGUUGCUGACAUUUAAGUAUUUAUUUUCUUUUUUGGUCUUAUGAAAAGUCCAUAU